This 394-nucleotide ribosomal RNA is filed under the name uncultured Microbacterium sp. RNAcentral's name for it is "bacterial SSU rRNA". It matches the Rfam family "Bacterial small subunit ribosomal RNA", at positions 100 to 508 of the family's 1533-position model. Lineage: Bacteria; Bacillati; Actinomycetota; Actinomycetes; Micrococcales; Microbacteriaceae. The record is from RNAcentral.
GGGGUGAGUAAACACGUGAGCAAACCCUGCCCCCGGGACUCUGGGAUAAGCGCUGGAAACGGUGUCUAAUACUGGAUAUGAGCUUCUGCCGCAUGGUGGGGUUGGAAAGAUUUUUCGGUUCGGGAUGGGCUCGCGGCCUAUCAGCUUGUUGGUGAGGUAAUGGCUUACCAAGGCGUCGACGGGUAGCCGGCCUGAGAGGGUGACCGGCCACACUGGGACUGAGACACGGCCCAGACUCCUACGGGAGGCAGCAGUGGGGAAUAUUGCACAAUGGGCGGAAGCCUGAUGCAGCAACGCCGCGUGAGGGAUGACGGCCUUCGAGUUGUAAACCUCUUUUAGCAGGGAAGAAGCGUGAGUGACGGUACCUGCAGAAAAGCGCCGGCUAACUACGUGC